AUCAAUUAAGCUUAAUAUAGCAUUUCACUUACACUGAAAAUAAUCUCAAAUAAUAUUAAUAUAUU
This 65-nucleotide transfer RNA is filed under the name Epeus alboguttatus. Its description in RNAcentral is "tRNA-Val". Lineage: Eukaryota; Metazoa; Arthropoda; Arachnida; Araneae; Salticidae. The record is from RNAcentral.